Molecule: ribosomal RNA, 253 nt
Filed under: uncultured bacterium
Lineage: Bacteria
Description: partial 16S ribosomal RNA
Rfam family: Bacterial small subunit ribosomal RNA
Source: RNAcentral
GACGAAGGUGGCGAGCGUUACUCGGAAUUACUAGGCGUAAAGCGCGAGCAGGCGGUUCGAUAAGUCUGUUGUGAAAGCUCCGGGCUCAACCCGGAGAGGCCAAUGGAUACUGUCGGACUUGAAUACGGGAGAGGUCACUGGAAUUCCUGGUGUAGCGGUGAAAUGCGUUGAUAUCAGGAGGAACACCAAAGGCGAAGGCAGGUGACUGGACCGUUAUUGACGCUGAGUCGCGAAAGCCGGGGGAGCAAACAGG